RNAcentral lists this ribosomal RNA (307 nucleotides) under uncultured bacterium. Its description in RNAcentral is "partial 16S ribosomal RNA". It matches the Rfam family "Bacterial small subunit ribosomal RNA", at positions 355 to 674 of the family's 1533-position model. The record is from RNAcentral.
UGGGGAAUAUUGCACAAUGGGCGAAAGCCUGAUGCAGCGACGCCGCGUGCGGGAUGAAGGCCUUCGGGUUGUAAACCGCUUUUGAUUGGGAGCAAGCGAGAGUGAGUGUACCUUUCGAAUAAGCACCGGCUAACUACGUGCCAGCAGCCGCGGUAAUACGUAGGGUGCAAGCGUUAUCCGGAAUUAUUGGGCGUAAAGAGCUCGUAGGCGGUUUGUCGCGUCUGGUGUGAAAGUCCAUCGCUUAACGGUGGAUCUGCGCCGGGUACGGGCAGGCUAGAGUGCGACAGGGGAGACUGGAAUUCCCGGU